Molecule: ribosomal RNA, 103 nt
Filed under: Inocybe hainanensis
Lineage: Eukaryota; Fungi; Basidiomycota; Agaricomycetes; Agaricales; Inocybaceae
Description: partial 28S ribosomal RNA
Source: RNAcentral
AAUUCCAAUCAAUCCCUAAGAGAGGUGAUCUCUCAGAGGCAUUUUAUUGAUGAAUUUGACCUCAAAUCAGGUAGGACUACCCGCUGAACUUAAGCAUAUCAAA